CACGUAGGGUGCGAGCGUUGUCCGGAAUUAUUGGGCGUAAAGAGCUCGUAGGCGGUGUGUCGCGUCGAUCGUGAAAACUUGGGGCUUAACCCUGAGCUUGCGGUCGAUACGGGCAUCACUGGAGUUCGGCAGGGGAGACUGGAAUUCCUGGUGUAGCGGUGAAAUGCGCAGAUAUCAGGAGGAACACCGGUGGCGAAGGCGGGUCUCUGGGCCGAUACUGACGCUGAGGAGCGAAAGCGUGGGGAGCGAACAGG
RNAcentral lists this ribosomal RNA (254 nucleotides) under uncultured bacterium. RNAcentral describes it as "partial 16S ribosomal RNA". It matches the Rfam family "Bacterial small subunit ribosomal RNA", at positions 524 to 776 of the family's 1533-position model. The record is from RNAcentral.